CAUUAAAUGACUGAACUAAGUUUUGAUCUUUUAAAUCAAAUAUAAUAGAUUUUACUCUAUUUUUAAUG
RNAcentral lists this transfer RNA (68 nucleotides) under Polyrhachis dives. Its description in RNAcentral is "tRNA-Lys". Lineage: Eukaryota; Metazoa; Arthropoda; Insecta; Hymenoptera; Formicidae. The record is from RNAcentral.